RNAcentral lists this ribosomal RNA (552 nucleotides) under uncultured bacterium. RNAcentral describes it as "partial 16S ribosomal RNA". It matches the Rfam family "Bacterial small subunit ribosomal RNA", at positions 355 to 924 of the family's 1533-position model. The record is from RNAcentral.
UGGGGAAUAUUGCACAAUGGGCGAAAGCCUGAUGCAGCAACGCCGCGUGAGUGAUGAAGGCCUUCGGGUUGUAAAGCUCUGUCUUUUGGGACGAUAAUGACGGUACCAAAGGAGGAAGCCACGGCUAACUACGUGCCAGCAGCCGCGGUAAUACGUAGGUGGCAAGCGUUGUCCGGAUUUACUGGGCGUAAAGGAUGCGUAGGCGGAUUUUUAAGUGAGAUGUGAAAACCCUAAGCUUAACUUGGGACUGCAUUUCAUACUGGAAAUCUAGAGUGCGGGAGAGGAGAAUGGAAUUCCUAGUGUAGCGGUGAAAUGCGUAGAGAUUAGGAAGAACACCAGUGGCGAAGGCGAUUCUCUGGACCGUAACUGACGCUGAGGCAUGAAAGCGUGGGUAGCAAACAGGAUUAGAUACCCUGGUAGUCCACGCCGUAAACGAUGAGUACUAGGUGUAGGAGGUAUCGACCCCUUCUGUGCCGCAGUUAACACAAUAAGUACUCCGCCUGGGAAGUACGAUCGCAAGAUUAAAACUUAAAUGAAUUGACGGGGUCAUAG